This 406-nucleotide ribosomal RNA is filed under the name uncultured bacterium. RNAcentral's name for it is "partial 16S ribosomal RNA". It matches the Rfam family "Bacterial small subunit ribosomal RNA", at positions 30 to 526 of the family's 1533-position model. The record is from RNAcentral.
AUUGAACGCUGGCGGCAGGCCUAACACAUGCAAGUCGAACGAGUGGCGGACGGGUGAGUAAUGUCUGGGAAACUGCCUGAUGGAGGGGGAUAACUACUGGAAACGGUAGCUAAUACCGCAUACCAUCAGAUGUUGCCAACUGGGAUUAGCUUGUUGGGGGGGUAACGGCUCACCAGGGCUACUAUCCCUAGCUGGUCUGAGAGGUGGACCGGCCACACUGGAACGGGGACACGGUCCGUACCCUAACGGGAGGCAGCGGUGGGAAAUAUUGCACAAGGGGCGCAAGCCUGAUGCAGCCAGGCCGCGUGUUUGAAGAAGGCCUUCGGGUUGUAAAUUCCUUUCAGCGGGGAGGCGUUACCCGCAGAAGAAGCACCGGCUAACUCCGUGCCAGCAGCCGCGGUAAUAC